AGCAGUAGCCGCGGGAAUACGGAGGGGGCUAGCGUUGUUCGGAAUUACUGGGCGUAAAGCGCACGUAGGCGGCUUGGUAAGUUAGAGGUGAAAGCCCGGAGCUCAACUCCGGAAUUGCCUUUAAGACUGCCGAGCUAGCAGGUGAGAGAGGUAAGUGGAAUUCCGAGUGUAGAGGUGAAAUUCGUAGAUAUUCGGAAGAACACCAGUGGCGAAGGCGGCUUACUGGCUCAUACUGGACGCUGAGGUGCGAAAGCGUGGGGAGCAAACAGGAUUAGAUACCCCCGUAGUCCCUGUCUCUUAUAC
This 303-nucleotide ribosomal RNA is filed under the name uncultured bacterium. RNAcentral describes it as "partial 16S ribosomal RNA". It matches the Rfam family "Bacterial small subunit ribosomal RNA", at positions 507 to 807 of the family's 1533-position model. The record is from RNAcentral.